RNAcentral lists this ribosomal RNA (482 nucleotides) under uncultured bacterium. RNAcentral's name for it is "partial 16S ribosomal RNA". It matches the Rfam family "Bacterial small subunit ribosomal RNA", at positions 28 to 523 of the family's 1533-position model. The record is from RNAcentral.
GACGAACGCUGGAGGCGUGCUUAACACAUGCAAGUCGAACGAUGAAAUGGAGCUUGCUCCAUGGAUUAGUGGCGAACGGGUGAGUAACACGUGAAUAACCUGCCCUUAAUUUUGGAAUAACCCAGGGAAACCUGGGCUAAUACCGGAUAAGUAAACCUGUGGCAUCACAUGGUUUUGGAAAGUUUUUCGAUUAAGGAUGGAUUCGCGGCCUAUCAGCUAGUUGGUGGGGUAAUGGCUCACCAAGGCGACGACGGGUAGCCGGCCUGAGAGGGUGAACGGCCACACUGGGACUGAGACACGGCCCAGACUCCUACGGGAGGCAGCAGUGGGGAAUAUUGCGCAAUGGACGAAAGUCUGACGCAGCGACGCCUCGUGAGGGACGAAGGUCUUCGGAUUGUAAACCUCUUUCAGCAGGGACGAAGCGAAAGUGACGGUACCUGCAGAAGAAGCACCGGCUAACUAUGUGCCAGCCGCCGCGGUAA